AGCUCAAAGCAUGGAAACGCCCUUCCCACAUAUCCUUCUCUCACUUCAUCUUGGCGAGUGCGUCUUCCAACUCCUCUACAUCUUGGUUAGGGAGAGUUAAUGGCUCAACCACAACCAUAGACAUAGGUCUCUCACAAGGAUAAGACAUCUUCAACUCCAUAGCUCUCUUCUUUACCCAAAGAGUGUAAGCUUCCAAAGCUACACAAUUG
This 209-nucleotide long non-coding RNA is filed under the name Lathyrus oleraceus (garden pea). RNAcentral's name for it is "Pisum sativum (pea) long non-coding RNA (PSAT_LNC014258)". The record is from RNAcentral. Lineage: Eukaryota; Viridiplantae; Streptophyta; Magnoliopsida; Fabales; Fabaceae.